CACCUCGGUAUCUUGCUAGGCAACAAAGCGGAAACAUUGGUGCUCUUCAGACGCUUUCGGUGAUUAUUAACCACUGUGUUUUAAACACUUUUUUAUCGUCUAGUUAGUUACUACCCCUUUCGUUUUUAAAUAUUCCGUUGUUAGUCAUCUAGCUAGCUGGUUAAGUUAGGGCUAGUAAUUAGACGAGUUGCUAAUGCUAACUAGCUAGCAAGUUAGCAUCCCCGACCAUGAGCUCACUGAGCUACUCCACCCAAGAGGAGGUCCGCUGGACGGAGAAAGACACUCUGGUGAAAGAGGAGGAGGAAGAGAAAUAUGUUACAAUACAAAAACAAGUAGAGGGUGAGGCUGUUACAGUGAAAGAAGAAGAUAAAGACGUUUCAGUUAAAGAAGAGGAAGAGGAUGUUACAGUAAAAGAGGAGGAGGAAGAGAAAGAGGAGGAUGCAGUUUUUGGAGUGAAAGAGGAUGAGGGGGAGGUGACUGUUUCUGUGAAGGAAGAGGAGGAAGCGUUCAGAGUGAAAGAGGAGGAGGAUGUUACUCUGAAGGAGGAGAAAGAGGAGAAUGCCGUUUUUGGAAUGAAGGAGGGGGAGGUGACUGUUCCAGCAAAAGAAGAGGAAGAAGCUUUCAGUGUAACAAAGGAGGAGGAUGUUACUCUGAAGAAAGAGGAGAAUGCCGUUUUUGGAAUGAAGGAGGAGGGGGAGAUUACUGUCUCAUUGGAGGAGGAGGAGGAGGAGGAGAAAGAAGAAGAAGAAGAGACGACAGGAGAUCUGAUUAACGACGGAGAGAGACCAGUCUGUCACUCUGACAGCAGUAAGACUCCUUCAGAGGAACCAGACCCAGAGACUCCCAAACCAGCAAGACCACACCACUGCUCCCAGUGUAAUAAGAGUUUCAAGUUGUCAUGGAACCUAAAAGAGCAUGAGAGGGCACACACAGGAGACAAGCCUUUCCACUGCUCCCAGUGUGGAAAGAGAUUUCCACGAUCACAGAACCUAAAAAUACAUCAGAGGACACACACAGGAGAAAAACCUUUUCUCUGCUCCCAGUGUGGAAAGUGUUUUACCCAGUUAUGGAGCCUGAACAAACAUAAUCGAAUACACACAGGAGAAAAGCCUUACCAUUGUUCCCAUUGUGGAAAGAAAUUUAGGUUGUUAGAUAAGCUGAAGGAGCAUGAGAGGAGACACACAGGAGAGAAACCUUACCAUUGCUCCCUGUGUGAAAAGAGUUUUACCCAAUUAGCUUACCGAAAAGAGCACGAAAGGAAACACACUGAAGAAAAGACUUACCAAUGUUCGCAGUGUGGAAAGAGAUUUUCACGAUCACAGGAACUAAAUUCACAUGAGAGGAUACACACAGGGGAGAAACUUCACCACUGCUCUCAUUGUGAAAAGUGUUUUACGCAGUUAGGGAGCCUGAACAAACAUAAUAGAGUACACACAGGAGAAAAGCCUUACCCCUGUACCCAUUGUGGAAAGAGAUUUUCUAGAUCACAGGACCAAAAAUCACAUGAGAGGACACACACCGGGGAGAAACCUUACCAUUGUUCCCUAUGCGGAAAUGAUUUUACCCAUUUAGGGAGCCUGAACAAACAUACGAAGAGAAUACACUCUGGAGUGAAGCCUUACUCAUGUUCCCAUUGCCUAAUGCAUUUCAGGUUGUUAAAUAACCUUAAGGAGCACGAGAGGACACACACGUCUUACCAUGGUCGCAGUGGAAAAGAUUUGAGCAAUUUAGGGAAACUAUAAGAUCAUGAGAUGAGACACGUGGGAGAUAUCACCCAGUUGUUCCCAGUGUGGAAAGAGUUUUACCUAGUUAGGGAGCCUGAAAAUGCAUGAGAGAAUACACACACACAGGGGAGGAAAAGCUCACAGUUUGGAAAGAGUUUUAGUUAGGGAACCUAAUUGUGGAAAGACAUUUUCACAGAGGACCUGAAAUCACAUGAUAGAAUAGACAGGCUGUGUUCUGAUGAGUCACAGUGUUCUGAUGAGUCACUGUGUUCUGAUGAGUCACAGUGUUCUGACUGAUGUUUGACUGUUGUUUUAUGCCACAUUAAACCAGGCUGUGUUCUGAUGAGUCACAGUGUUCUGAUGAGUCACUGUGUUCUGAUGAGUCACAGUGUUCUGAUGAGUCACUGUGUUCUGAUGAGUCACAGUGUUCUGAUGAGUCACUGUGUUCUGAUGAGUCACAGUGUUCUGACUGAUGUUUGACUGUUGUUUUAUGUCACAUUAAACCAGGCUGUGUUCUGAUGAGUCACUGUGUUCUGAUGAGUCACUGUGUUCUGAUGAGUCACUGUGUUCUGAUGAGUCACAGUGUUCUGACUGAUGUUUGACUGUUGUUUUAUGUCACAUUAAACCAGGCUGUGUUCUGAUGAGUCACUGUGUUCUGAUGAGUCACUGUGUUCUGAUGAGUCACUGUGUUCUGAUGAGUCACAGUGUUCUGACUGAUGUUUGACUGUUGUUUUAUGUCACAUUAAACCAGGCUGUGUUCUGAUGAGUCACUGUGUUCUGAUGAGUCACUGUGUUCUGAUGAGUCACUGUGUUCUGAUGAGAUCCAGUGUUCUGACUGAUGUUUGACUGUUGUUUUAUGUCACAUUAAACCAGGCUGUGUUCUGAUGAGUCACUGUG
RNA transcript from Oncorhynchus keta (chum salmon), 2621 nucleotides. It is a transcript of the gene named zinc finger protein 883-like, with no coding region annotated. The record is from RefSeq and is a predicted model, not a curated record. The transcript is spliced from 3 exons. Lineage: Eukaryota; Metazoa; Chordata; Actinopteri; Salmoniformes; Salmonidae.